AAUAGAUACCCAGGUAGUCCACGCUGUAAACGAUGCUAACUCGUUUUUGGGUUUUCGGAUUCAGAGACUAAGCGAAAGUGAUAAGUUAGCCACCUGGGGAGUACGAACGCAAGUUUGAAACUCAAAGGAAUUGACGGGGGCCCGCACAAGCGGUGGAUUAUGUGGUUUAAUUCGAUGAUACGCGAGGAACCUUACCAAGGCUUAAAUGGGAAUUGACAGAUUUAGAAAUAGAUCCUCCUUCGGGCAAUUUUCAAGGUGCUGCAUGGUUGUCGUCAGCUCGUGCCGUGAGGUGUUAGGUUAAGUCCUGUAACGAGCGCAACCCCUGUCACUAGUUGCUACCAUUAAGUUGAGGACUCUAGUGAGACUGCCUACGCAAGUAGAGAGGAAGGUGGGGAUGACGUCAAAUCAUCACGGCCCUUACGCCUUGGGCCACACACGUAAUACAAUGGCCGGUACAGAGGGCAGCUACACAGCGAUGUGAUGCAAAUCUCGAAAGCCGGUCUCAGUUCGGAUUGGAGUCUGCAACUCGACUCUA
Molecule: ribosomal RNA, 535 nt
Filed under: uncultured bacterium
Lineage: Bacteria
Description: bacterial SSU rRNA
Rfam family: Bacterial small subunit ribosomal RNA
Source: RNAcentral